This 253-nucleotide ribosomal RNA is filed under the name uncultured bacterium. RNAcentral's name for it is "partial 16S ribosomal RNA". It matches the Rfam family "Bacterial small subunit ribosomal RNA", at positions 524 to 776 of the family's 1533-position model. The record is from RNAcentral.
UACAGAGGGUGCGAGCGUUAAUCGGAAUUACUGGGCGUAAAGCGCGCGUAGGCGGCUUUGCAAGUCGGGUGUGAAAUCCCCAGGCUUAACCUGGGAACUGCAUUCGAGACUGCAUUGCUAGAGUAUGGGAGAGGGAAGUGGAAUUUCCGGUGUAGCGGUGAAAUGCGUAGAUAUCGGGAGGAACACCGGUGGCGAAGGCGGUUCUCUGGGCCUGUACUGACGCUGAGGCGCGAAAGCUAGGGGAGCAAACGGG